AGUAAACGCUGGCGGUAGGCCUAACACAUGCCAGUCGAACGGCAGCACAGUAAGAGCUUGCUCUUACGGGUGGCGAGUGGCGGACGGGUGAGGAAUACAUCGUAAUCUACUUUUUCGUGGGGGAUAACGUAGGGAAACUUACUCUAAUACCGCAUACGCCCUACGGGUGAAAGCAGUGGAUCUUCGGACCUUGCGCGAUUGAAUGAGCCGAUGUCGGAUUAGCUAGUUGGCGGGGUAAAGGCCCACCAAGGCGACGAUCCGUAGCUGGUCUGAGAGGAUGAUCAGCCACACUGGAACUGAGACACGGUCCAGACUCCUACGGGAGGCAGCAGUGGGGAAUAUUGGACAAUGGGCGCAAGCCUGAUCCAGCCAUACCGCGUGGGUGAAGAAGGCCUUCGGGUUGUAAAGCCCUUUUGUUGGGAAAGAAAAGCAGCAGGUUAAUACCCCGCUGUUCUGACGGUACCCAAAGAAUAAGCACCGGCUAACUUCGUG
Molecule: ribosomal RNA, 492 nt
Filed under: uncultured bacterium
Lineage: Bacteria
Description: partial 16S ribosomal RNA
Rfam family: Bacterial small subunit ribosomal RNA
Source: RNAcentral